RNAcentral lists this ribosomal RNA (193 nucleotides) under uncultured bacterium. RNAcentral's name for it is "partial 16S ribosomal RNA". It matches the Rfam family "Bacterial small subunit ribosomal RNA", at positions 1300 to 1500 of the family's 1533-position model. The record is from RNAcentral.
GGAGUCUGCAACUCGACUCCAUGAAGUUGGAUUCGCUAGUAAUCGCGCAUCAGCCAUGGCGCGGUGAAUACGUUCCCGGGCCUUGUACACACCGCCCGUCAAGCCAUGGGAGCCGGGGGCGCCUGAAGUCCGGGACCGCGAGGACCGGCCUAGGGCGAAACUGGUGACUGGGGCUAAGUCGUAACAAGGUAAC